RNAcentral lists this ribosomal RNA (468 nucleotides) under uncultured bacterium. RNAcentral's name for it is "partial 16S ribosomal RNA". It matches the Rfam family "Bacterial small subunit ribosomal RNA", at positions 28 to 507 of the family's 1533-position model. The record is from RNAcentral.
GACGAACGCUGGCGGCGUGCUUAACACAUGCAAGUCGAACGGAAAGGCCCUGUCUUGGUGGGGUGCUCGAGUGGCGAACGGGGGAGUAACACGUGAGUAACCUGCCCUUGACUUUGGGAUAACUUCAGGAAACAGGGGGUAAUACCGGAUAGGAGCUCCUGCUGCAUGGUGGGGGUGGGAAAGUUUCGGCGGUUGGGGAUGGACUCGCGGCUUAUCAGCUUGUUGGUGGGGUAGUGGCUGACCAAGGCUUUGACGGGUAGCCGGCCUGAGCGGGUGACCGGCCACAUUGCGACUGAGAUACGGCCCAGACUCCUACGGGAGGCAGCAGUGGGGAAUAGUGCACAAUGGGCGGAGGCCUGAUGCAGCACCGCCGCGUGCCGGAUGACGGCCUUCGGGUUGUAAACCGCUUUCGCCUGUGACGAAGCGUGAGUGACGGUAAUGGGUAAAGAAGCACCGGCUAACUACGUG